GAACGCUGGCGGCAUGCUUAACACAUGCAAGUCGAACGGAUAAAGUUUCUAGCUUGCUAGAAAUUUUAUUAGUGGCAAACGGGUGAGUAACACGUAGGAAUCUCCCCUAUAGCACGGAAUAACAAUUGGAAACGAUUGCUAAUACCGUAUACGCUCUUCGGAGGAAAGAUUUAUCACUAUAGGAUGAGCCUGCGCUAGAUUAGGUAGUUGGUAGGGUAAUGGCCUACCAAGCCGAUGAUCUAUAGCUGGUCUGAGAGGAUGAUCAGCCACACUGGAACUGAGAUACGGUC
RNAcentral lists this ribosomal RNA (290 nucleotides) under uncultured Rickettsiales bacterium. Its description in RNAcentral is "partial 16S ribosomal RNA". It matches the Rfam family "Bacterial small subunit ribosomal RNA", at positions 31 to 331 of the family's 1533-position model. The record is from RNAcentral. Lineage: Bacteria; Pseudomonadati; Pseudomonadota; Alphaproteobacteria; Rickettsiales.